This is a long non-coding RNA of Bolinopsis microptera, 1965 nucleotides long. RefSeq lists it as uncharacterized. The record is from RefSeq and is a predicted model, not a curated record. Lineage: Eukaryota; Metazoa; Ctenophora; Tentaculata; Lobata; Bolinopsidae. The transcript has 3 exons.
GUUCACCAAUAAAUGUGUCAUCUCACAGUAAAGAAGUGGUAGAUAGUGCAGCCGCUACGUUCACUGUAAAAUGUGAUGUCAGUAGUUUGACUGCACAAGUAACAAACGUCGUGUGGAAAUUGGGAGAAACGAUCUUGACCGAUAACAGCACCUACACACCAGAUGUGGGAGCAGCUUCGUACAGUAGUGGAGAUGGAACAGAUGGAACACAAACAACCACCUUGGAGGUGGCAGGUUCUGAUAAUACAAGGGGUAACUUGCAGUUUACUUGUGAAGUUACUGAUCCUGUGGAUUCUGGUGCUACACCCGUGAAGCCAACUGCUGACCUGAUAUUUUACACUAUAACUCCACACGAUAGAAGGAUUACAACUGGUGUAGUACAGACAAUAUCAUGUGACAUAACCGGACUGGGAAGUGCAGCUGAUAUCACGUGGAAAGACCCUGGCGGGAAUGAUAUUUCUACUGGUGACACUUCUAACUAUAUUGUCGAUGAUGGGACAGCUGCAUUUGCAAAUGGAGCACAGACACCAAAACUAACUAUAAAAACAGCAAUCUUGUCGACGAUCAGCUCUGCUACAUCUUACAAAUGCUCAGUGACGUCAGGAUAUUAUCCUGGAUCCCCAGUAUACGAAAAGAGCGUUGUAGUUACUCCCAUCGGUAACAUAACAAACAACGGAACAUGUGUAACAGUAGCCGGCAACAAGCUCUGCAAUGUAACGGUGACGUGGACACCACGUGUGAGUGAGACAGGAUCAAUAUUUGCUAUGAUAGUACCUGUCCUAUUCGCUGUGGUAAUGUUUGUGUUGCUUCUUGUUAUUGUAGGUUACAACCCCUGGACAGAUAUUAAGAACACGUACAGAAGAAACACUAUUCUAUUGUACUCUAAGAAAAUUUUAGGGAGUACCCAGUAUGGAAAAAUUAAAGGAGAGUUAAGUGAGUUUAAACUUAAAAAGAAGGAAUUAAACAAAAAAGAUUACAAAGUUAUAGAAGAUGAUUUAUUGAAAGAGGAAAUAAUAAGUAUUAAUUUUGAGGAAAUAUUUAUUAAGGAUUGGAAAGUAACAAAAGGUGAUGUUAAAGGAUUUAUAAAACGUAGACAGAUUUUCUUCGGAUGUAUAACUUUACCAUUACGUUGUGCACAUAUCCUUUUAAUUUCACAACUUAUUAUUUUACCAAUAUUUGCUAUAUUCUGGGAUGUGGUGGACGUUAUCUUUGACACGUAUUAUUUUCAUAAACUAGAGCGUGGUGAGUUAAUAGAUCCCUUAAUUUACAGAAAUACUCACGUUAAUAAUAGUAUAUUAGGAUUUGCAUGUUUAGGUGCUAUUAAAAGUACGAUAGUUGCUUUCUGUUAUAUUAGUGUUGUGAAUGUUAACAAGAAGGACAGGGAGUGGCACAACAGUGCGGUGUUACUUACAUUGGCAGCUGCAUGUCUUAAAUUAUUGUUAGAAGAUGCACCUGAGUUAAUAUUAGAAUACUUUUAUGUAGACAAAUUUAUUAUUGAUAACCCUCCUUGGUUUCUAGUAGCAAAGGACGUUGUUACUGCAUUAAUUUAUAUUUUACCGGUUAUAAAGAUAUUAAAGUCAGGUGUUAAGGAUUUUAAGUUACUUAAGGAAGAAUAUGACAGUUUGGAUGUAAAAUUAUUUUACAUUCCAGCAACACUAGCAAGAGGAUGUAUGAGUUUUACUAUGAUAUUUAGAAUAGUUGGAAUGAUUAUCCAGUACAUGGGUAGUACUGUUAAUGCAGAGUGUUUUGUUGUAUUAGAUAAUGCGUUACAACAGACACCUUUCGCAUUGGGUUGUUUAAACUGGUGCGAUUAUACAAUACUGGUUUUUACUUGUUUAACUUUAUUAUCGUCAAUACCAGGAGUUAUCUACGUUAUCAUUGAAUCCGUUAAAAGAAUUACUUAGCAUUUACAUUGAUUGAUAAUUCUGUUCACGCCAAUAAGUACCGAUAUUUUAUUUCAAUAUU